RNAcentral lists this ribosomal RNA (253 nucleotides) under uncultured bacterium. Its description in RNAcentral is "partial 16S ribosomal RNA". It matches the Rfam family "Bacterial small subunit ribosomal RNA", at positions 524 to 776 of the family's 1533-position model. The record is from RNAcentral.
UACGGGGGGGGCAAGCGUUGUUCGGAAUUACUGGGCGUAAAGGGCUCGUAGGCGGCCAACUAAGUCAGACGUGAAAUCCCCAGGCUCAACCUGGGAACUGCGUCCGAUACUGGAUGGCUUGAGAUUGGGAGAGGGAUGCGGAAUUCCAGGUGUAGCGGUGAAAUGCGUAGAUAUCUGGAGGAACACCGGUCGCGAAGGCGGCAUCCUGGACCAACACUGACGCUGAUGAGCGAAAUCCACGGUAGCAAACGGG